CCUCUGGGAAGAAGAGAGCAUGGCCAGCAUGGCCAGGACGGAGAAGGAAGAAACGGCAGCGCAGGCAGCAGCCACGGAAGGUUUUUCAAGCCUCGGCUGGGGGACAGGCAAGGGGCGGUUCAACCAUUAGGCGAAGUAAGCGGUUUCUGAAGGCACCAUCCUCCACAGCCUGGCCUUCACCCUCGAGGCCAGGUCUCCAGGCUGCCUGGCCAUGUUCCAGAAGCUUUCUCUCCUGACGGUAAACCCACACCUAUGGCAGGCAUCCUCAGAGGUUGGGAGGUCUGUUGGAAGCUAGGUAAGUGGGGUUUAUAUAUCUGUGAAAAGUCCAGGGUGGGAGAAAGAGCUCUUGUCUGUUUGAGGCUAGUGUGAAUGUUGCAAUUGGCCAGCUUGAUUAGCAUUUAAUGGCCUUGCAGGUUCAAAGCCUAGCUGCCUCCUCCCUGGGGCAUCCUUGGUUGGGAGGUGUUAGCUGGCCCUGAUUGUUUCCUGUCUGGAUUUCCCCUGUUUUCAGUGUUGUCCUUUAUUUACUGUCCUGAUUUUAGAGUUUUUUAAAUUCCCUUUCGGUGGCCUUUUAAUUCCUAUGGAUUCCUAAGGACCCUCAGGGUUCUUCCACACAACCAUAUAAGCUAGAAUAUCAAAGCAGAAUAACCCACAACAUCUGCCUUGAUCUGGGUUAUCUGAGUCCACACUUCUAUAU
This 694-nucleotide long non-coding RNA is filed under the name Anolis carolinensis (green anole). Its description in RNAcentral is "lncRNA (ENSACAG00000038678.1)". Lineage: Eukaryota; Metazoa; Chordata; Lepidosauria; Squamata; Anolidae. The record is from RNAcentral.